AGCGAACGCUGGCGGCAGGCCUAACACAUGCAAGUCGAACGAACCUUUCGGGGUUAGUGGCGGACGGGUGAGUAACACGUGGGAACGUGCCUUUAGGUUCGGAAUAACUCAGGGAAACUUGUGCUAAUACCGAAUGUGCCCUUCGGGGGAAAGAUUUAUCGCCUUUAGAGCGGCCCGCGUCUGAUUAGCUAGUUGGUUGAGGUAAUGGCUCACCAAGGCGACGAUCAGUAGCUGGUCUGAGAGGAUGAUCAGCCACAUUGGGACUGAGACACGGCCCAAACUCCUACGGGAGGCAGGAGUGGGGAAUCUUGCGCAAUGGGCGAAAGCCUGACGCAGCCAUGCCGCGUGAAUGAUGAAGGUCUUAGGAUUGUAAAAUUCUUUCACCGGGGACGAUAAUGACGGUACCCGGAGAAGAAGCCCCGGCUAACUUCGUG
RNAcentral lists this ribosomal RNA (434 nucleotides) under uncultured bacterium. Its description in RNAcentral is "partial 16S ribosomal RNA". It matches the Rfam family "Bacterial small subunit ribosomal RNA", at positions 29 to 507 of the family's 1533-position model. The record is from RNAcentral.